Schizosaccharomyces pombe (fission yeast) is the source of this 1725-nucleotide non-coding RNA. The record is from the annotation of a GenBank genome assembly. Lineage: Eukaryota; Fungi; Ascomycota; Schizosaccharomycetes; Schizosaccharomycetales; Schizosaccharomycetaceae.
GCAUUUGAUUUGAAGGAGCUAGAUAGUAAAAAGCACGAGCACCUGCUAUAAUAGUACUCGGAAGAAGAGAGAAAAAGCAAGACUUUAUUGACUCAAGUAGUUCCUUUAAAUCUGAAUGUGUUGAAGGAGUUGAAGGCUCGGGUAAUGUAAGUCUGGCAUAUCUAACCAAUGUUUUCAAAGCCACUACUUUGUCCCAGUCAUUCAUUUGCGGGAAAAGAGUACAUAUCCUAUGAUAAUAUGGAUGAAUAAUUUCUAAUUUCUCAGGACAAACGACUUCAAAAGUAAAUAAUGCAGCUGGGACUACAAUAGGACUAUUAUCAGAUAAAAGCGUUUUGAUGUGCUCUUCCAAUUGCGAUUUAUAUGAAGGGUCAAGAGAAUAGCACUUUGUAAUUGCCAAUGCCGCACUUUGGCGAACGCGAUCAGCUGUAUCAGUAAUGCAUUGCUGAAUUGCUAAAAGAACGAUUCCAUUAAUGGCAGGCACCCUGAUACUGCUCAUAACUCUAAUUGCGGUAGAUCUAGUUAACGGGUUUUUAUCAUACAGUGUUUUUUGAACAGUAUUAACAGACAGCAAAGCAAGAUCUGGAUUGAACUCAGCAUACUGGAGUAAAUAAAUAUGGACCAGGCGUCGUAUUUCCGGAUUUUCUGAAGCAACUAACUUCACAACAUCUGGGAAGUAUAACGACAUAUUUUCGCCGUGCAUCAUUUGAGCUAAAAUGAAGUUAAUCGCCUCUAAUUUGCCAGCAUCAGAGUUGGAGUUCAAGAGGCGUAAUAAAUCGGAGUGGGAAAGCUCAUUUUCUUCGAAAGAAAGACUCGAGCUUUUUGCUAUCUGCUUUGCAUUUUCCGCAAGCCCGCUUAAAGUCUGAAAGAACGAUAGAUUAGACAUUUGAAGUAGGCCAACGUAAGGAAAUCGGCGUGUAAUAGCAGUGGAUGCACUCAAAGAGCUAAAAAAUGAAACCACUCCUAAUAAAAAUAUUAAUUUAAUAAAAAAUGCAAAUCCAAGGAUUUAUACUGCCGCGCACGGAUUUUCAAUGAACCUUGGCAGUUGCUUGGUUGAUAUGUGCUAAAACAUUAUACAUACCUCACUAGUGGUGUUUCGCUACUAAACACCAUCAGUGCAUUUCUUCAUCCAAAUUACUUUAAGUACAUUGCAUAUUAAAUUAUUUAAAUAGUAACUUACGAACAGUUUCAAGUGAAUUUCCUCAUGUUUUUCUCUUUAAGCUUUUUUUUUUUUACAAAAGGCAAAAAAGAUCACGAACUUUAAAGCUCACAUGAUUAAUGGGAUAAACCAAUACAUCAAGUUAUUGUUUAAUGAGCAUAGCAGCAGUGAAUUAUUUAAAUCAUAGUCUUGGUUAUUCAUAACUAUCUUGUCUUUUAGCAUUAAUGUUCAGCCAUGAGACAAACGGUAUUAUUUUCAAUGCUACCUUUUUAUAUCAUCACUAUGUAUUUGUUUUAUUAGGCUGGUGUUUAAACUCAGCUAAGCAUUAGUUAUCUCAACUAAAAGAUUGUAUUAAUAUUUAGUUCGUAAGGCUGUACAUUUUAAAGAAUGCAGUUUCAUUUUCCCCCGAGGAUAAAUUUAUUAAAUAGCUGUUUUUCUUUAUUUUUAUCGUUGUGUCGAUAAAAUAAAUAAAUUAUCUAGAACUUGUUGUUGCAAGGUGUAGUUGUGAUUAGGGAAAAUAGUUAUUUUUAAAGAUUGCACUUGAAAACGCCGAAAUAUAUUUCAGUUCU